This 240-nucleotide unclassified non-coding RNA is filed under the name soil metagenome. RNAcentral describes it as "partial contains 5.8S ribosomal RNA, internal transcribed spacer 2, and large subunit ribosomal RNA". The record is from RNAcentral.
AACGCACGAGACCUGCGGACCUGCGGAGGGAUCAUUACUGAGUGAGGGCCCCUCGGGGUCCAACCUCCCACCCGUGUUUAACGAACCUUUGUUGCUUCGGCGGGCCCGCCUCACGGCCGCCGGGGGGCUCCUGCCCCCGGGCCCGCGCCCGCCGAAGCCCCCCCUUGAACGCUGUCUGAAGUUUGCAGUCUGAGAAACUAGCUAAAUUAGUUAAAACUUUUAACAACGGAUCUCUAGAUC